AUCAAUAGAUCAUCCAUCAUAUUUCAAAUUUUAUAUGUCAUAAUCUCUUGUGAUCCUUUUAUACAUAAUCCCAAUGUUUAAUCAAAAUUUAUAAAUAUUUCUCCCACUACAAUCAUCAAAGAUCUACACUAUAAUGUCCCUGGUGUCUAUCCACUUACACCCAUUCUAUAUCUGAUUCUAUGUUUCAUAAUUUAUCCACUUAUGCUCUGAUACCAUUUUAAUUGUCACGCCUCCAACCCGAAAUUGUGAAUCGAGGGUCAUGACAACCGCCGCAUACUCAUAGAAAA
This 287-nucleotide long non-coding RNA is filed under the name Elaeis guineensis (African oil palm). RNAcentral describes it as "long non-coding RNA (EGUI_LNC080075)". Lineage: Eukaryota; Viridiplantae; Streptophyta; Magnoliopsida; Arecales; Arecaceae. The record is from RNAcentral.